UACAGAGGGUGCGAGCGUUAAUCGGAAUUACUGGGCGUAAAGCGUGCGUAGACGGUUAUUUAAGUCGGGUGUGAAAGCCCCGGGCUCAACCUGGGAAUUGCAUUCGAGACUGAAUAGCUAGGGUACGGUAGAGGGAAGCGGAAUUUCCGGUGUAGCGGUGAAAUGCGUAGAUAUCGGAAGGAACAUCAGUGGCGAAAGCGGCUGCCUGGACCAGUACCUACGUUCAGGCACGAAAGCGUGGAGAGCAAACAGG
Molecule: ribosomal RNA, 253 nt
Filed under: uncultured bacterium
Lineage: Bacteria
Description: partial 16S ribosomal RNA
Rfam family: Bacterial small subunit ribosomal RNA
Source: RNAcentral